Molecule: long non-coding RNA, 392 nt
Filed under: Homo sapiens (human)
Lineage: Eukaryota; Metazoa; Chordata; Mammalia; Primates; Hominidae
Description: HSALNT0338606
Source: RNAcentral
UUUAUGCUCUGCUAACCUAGAGGUCCUAGUUACAAAGAAUACAAAGAAAGGCAUGUUUCCACCAGGAGACACAGCACUAAUCCCACUGGACUGGAAGUUAAGACAAAGAAUGCAAAGAAAGGCAUGCUUCCACCGGCAGACACAGCACUGAUUCCAUUGAACUGGAAGUUAAGACCAAUGCUCUGCAACUUCGGGCUCCUUCUGCUUCUGAAUCCAUAUGCAAAGAAGAGAGUCCCUGUGCAGCUGGGGUGAUGGAUCCUGGCUUCUAAGAAGAAAUUGGCCUAUACUACUCCACAGUGGAGACAGCACAUGCCUUCCUCACAUAGCCCUGUUCCUCUGGGUCUUCCAUCAUGAAGCUUCUUGGACGGAAUGUGCUUCCUCUUUGAAGAGUG